This 1455-nucleotide long non-coding RNA is filed under the name Vulpes vulpes (red fox). Its description in RNAcentral is "lncRNA (ENSVVUG00000017645.1)". The record is from RNAcentral. Lineage: Eukaryota; Metazoa; Chordata; Mammalia; Carnivora; Canidae.
CUGCUCUCCAACACCACUGAACACAAAAGUAUGAAAGAAUAAAAGUCAGGUUGUAAAGAGACAGUUGAUUUAACUAAUUGUGAUUAAAAUACCUCACUUGUGUAAAACUUUGAAAAAAAUACAUGACUAUCUGAACACAUUGCAAUUGAAGGGCCUGAGGCUUAGCUUCAUUUAGCAAACCAUAAAAUUGCCUUGUGGGGAACUGUGAAGGUUGUACCCUCGGUCCACACAUUCCUAUCCCUCUCUUAUUUUCCCCCAGAUACUUCACAACUCUUCGUACUUCAAAGUGACUGGCGGAAAACUUAGAUGUCCUCACCUGAGUUUCAUUCAUCCUCACUUACUUCACAUCCUGAUCCUCAAGUCUGACUUUUGCCAAAAAUCAGAAUGGACCCUGCUUCCUGCUUCCAAAGAUGUUCAUCAACAAAAAUCAUCAAUACCCAAAAAAAAAUCAUCAAUACCCCAUUUAUUUAGCAUUUCCUGUGCACUUGGUAGUGUGGUGAACACUUUAAAAAUAAGUGAGUUAAACCUCCCAAGAAGUCUAUGAAGUAGAUAUCACUGUUCACAUCUGCCCCUUGGCCUUUCCCUUGCAUUGAAACAAGACUUUUAUCUUGGUGCUCACAAUUUAGUGAUAGAGUUUGAGAAGUAAGCAGCCAAGAACAGCACAGAUAGUACAAAGUAUUGACCUUGAUCUCACAUCUUAAUGAUUUAAUGGGACAAAAAUUUAUGCCAUUAUUUAAAUUUAAUUCACUGAAGUUAUGUAGUGCUUAAUAAUUUCUCAGAUGGUGUUGCCUAUAUAAUCUUCCCCAAUCUUCACAGUAACAUUGAGAAGUAAAUAUUGUUAUGACCCCAUUUUCACAGACCAGGGAAGGAGACUCAUAGAUGUUAAGCAACCUACACAAAAACCUAUUAGCAAAUGGCAACUGUAAGAGGUGUCUUACAGGUGAAGGUGGUGUCCCUUCAGAUCCAUGCACUUUGAAUAAUAUAGUGACUCUAUAUAACUAUAUAUACUAACUGUAUAGAUAGUUACCUAUGUAACUAGAUUAACACACACACAUGGUAGCAUGUGUUGUAGUGGUCAAGGCCAAGACGAGCCACUUUGGCAUGAACACUAUUUUGAGCUGAAGGCAAUCAGGAUCCUGCAGGCUCAAGAAAAACUUUUGCCCCUCCCUUAACUACUUAGUAGAAUCUAAAUUGGGCAUCUUUCUCAGAAUAAGAGUUAUUGGCAAAGAUAAUUUUUAUGUAAGUGACCCAUUUGUAUGGCAAGGUAACAUCCAAUUACUGAACAUAUGCUUUUCUUAUUGCCCUGUAAAUUGCAUUCAUUUCCUCUAAAUUGCCUGACCCCACCCUCUUUUCCUUAAUUCAGGAUGAUGUAUAUACCUCAUUUUGCCUAACUAGCUUUGGAAUUUUCAUGUCUUUGUGGAUUCCCCAUGCAUAUGCUAUUAAAUUUGAUUUUCU